Molecule: ribosomal RNA, 460 nt
Filed under: uncultured bacterium
Lineage: Bacteria
Description: partial 16S ribosomal RNA
Rfam family: Bacterial small subunit ribosomal RNA
Source: RNAcentral
CCUACGCGAGACAGCAGUGAGGAAUAUUGGUCAAUGGGCGCAAGCCUGAACCAGCCAAGUCGCGUGAGGGAAGACGGCCCUACGGGUUGUAAACCUCUUUUGCCGGGGAGCAAGCCUGAGCACGUGUGCCCAGGCGGAGAGUACCCGGAGAAAAAGCAUCGGCUAACUCCGUGCCAGCAGCCGCGGUAAUACGGAGGAUGCGAGCGUUAUCCGUAUUUAUUGGGUUUAAAGGGUGCGCAGGCGGGCGGUUAAGCCGGCGUUAAAAAUUCAGGGCUCAAACCUGUCGAGCCGUCGGAACUGGCAGCCUUGAGUGGGCGAGAAGUAUGCGGAAUGCGUGGUGUAGCGGUGAAAUGCAUAGAUAUCACGCAGAACGCCGAUUGCGAAGGCAGCAUACCGGCGCCCGACUGACGCUGAGGCACGAAAGCGUGGGGAUCGAACAGGAUUAGAUACCCGUGUAGUC